GGUGAGUCAUCGAAUCUUUGAACGCACAUUGCGCCCCCUGGUAUUCCGGGGGGCAUGCCUGUCCGAGCGUCAUUACUGCCCAUCAAGCCCGGCUUGUGUGUUGGGUCGACGUCCCCCCCGGCGAGGGGGGGACGGACCCGAAAGGCAGUGGCGGUGCCGCGCCGGUGCUUCGAGCGUAUGGGGCUUUGUCACCCGCUCCGGAGGCCUGGCCGGCGCCCGUCGUCCCCACACUAUUUUUCUCGGUGGACCUCGGAUCAGGUAGGGAUACCCGCUGAACUUAAGCAUAUCAAUAAGCGGAGG
This 300-nucleotide unclassified non-coding RNA is filed under the name uncultured Penicillium. Its description in RNAcentral is "sequence contains 5.8S rRNA gene, ITS2". The stretch from base 1 to 72 matches the Rfam family "5.8S ribosomal RNA", at positions 83 to 154 of the family's 154-position model. Lineage: Eukaryota; Fungi; Ascomycota; Eurotiomycetes; Eurotiales; Aspergillaceae. The record is from RNAcentral.